This 77-nucleotide transfer RNA is filed under the name candidate division MSBL1 archaeon SCGC-AAA259A05. Its description in RNAcentral is "tRNA-Asp". It matches the Rfam family "tRNA". Rfam says of the family: Transfer RNA (tRNA) molecules are approximately 80 nucleotides in length. Their secondary structure includes four short double-helical elements and three loops (D, anti-codon, and T loops). The record is from RNAcentral. Lineage: Archaea; Methanobacteriati; Methanobacteriota.
GGGCCCGUGGCUCAACCUGGCAGAGCAUCCGUCGGUCAACCGGACGGUUGUGGGUUCGAAUCCCACCGGGCCCGCCA